This 279-nucleotide ribosomal RNA is filed under the name uncultured bacterium. Its description in RNAcentral is "partial 16S ribosomal RNA". It matches the Rfam family "Bacterial small subunit ribosomal RNA", at positions 506 to 784 of the family's 1533-position model. The record is from RNAcentral.
UGCCAGCCGCCGCGGUAACACGGGGGGAGCAAGCGUUGUUCGGAAUCACUGGGCGUAAAGGGCGUGUAGGCGGUUUGGUAAGUGAGAUGUGAAAGCCCCCGGCUCACCCGGGGAGGGUCAUCUCAUACUGCUGAACUUGAGUACGGAAGAGGAUGAGGGAAUUCCUGGUGUAGCGGUGAAAUGCGUAGAUAUCAGGAGGAACACCGGUGGCGAAGGCGCUCAUCUGGUCCGUUACUGACGCUGAGGCGCGAAAGCUAGGGGAGCGAACGGGAUUAGAUA